Molecule: transfer RNA, 72 nt
Filed under: Ameiurus melas (black bullhead)
Lineage: Eukaryota; Metazoa; Chordata; Actinopteri; Siluriformes; Ictaluridae
Rfam family: tRNA
About the family: Transfer RNA (tRNA) molecules are approximately 80 nucleotides in length. Their secondary structure includes four short double-helical elements and three loops (D, anti-codon, and T loops).
Source: Rfam by way of RNAcentral
GCAUUGGUGGUAUAGUGGUGAUCAUAGCUACCUUCCAAGCAGUUGACCCGGGUUCGAUUCCCGGCCAAUGCA